GAACGCCGUGUGCGGUGAAAGCCGCACGCACGGUGUGGAGCGGGGGAAAAGGCAGAGACCGCAUCAAAGCCUUACCUAUCGCUAU
Molecule: non-coding RNA, 85 nt
Filed under: Oribacterium sp. oral taxon 078 str. F0263
Lineage: Bacteria; Bacillati; Bacillota; Clostridia; Lachnospirales; Lachnospiraceae
Source: RNAcentral